Molecule: ribosomal RNA, 449 nt
Filed under: uncultured bacterium
Lineage: Bacteria
Description: partial 16S ribosomal RNA
Rfam family: Bacterial small subunit ribosomal RNA
Source: RNAcentral
AACGAACGCUGGCGGCAGGCCUAACACAUGCAAGUCGAACGCUGUAGCAAUACAGAGUGGCAGACGGGUGAGUAACACGUGGGAAUCUUCCUAUCGGUACGGAAUAGCUCAGGGAAACUUGGGGUAAUACCGCAUACGCCCUUCGGGGGAAAGAUUUAUCGCCGAUAGAUGAGCCCGCGUCUGAUUAGCUAGUUGGUGAGGUAAUGGCUCACCAAGGCGACGAUCAGUAGCUGGUCUGAGAGGAUGACCAGCCACACUGGGACUGAGACACGGCCCAGACUCCUACGGGAGGCAGCAGUGGGGAAUAUUGGACAAUGGGGGCAACCCUGAUCCAGCUAUGCCGCGUGAGUGACGAAGGUCUUCGGAUUGUAAAGCUCUUUUGGCGGGGACGAUAAUGACGGUACCCGCGGAAUAAGCCCCGGCUAACUUCGUGUCAGCCGCCGCGGUAA